RNAcentral lists this microRNA precursor (161 nucleotides) under Vombatus ursinus (common wombat). Its description in RNAcentral is "miRNA (ENSVURG00010009771.1)". The stretch from base 43 to 120 matches the Rfam family "mir-2188 microRNA precursor family". The record is from RNAcentral. Lineage: Eukaryota; Metazoa; Chordata; Mammalia; Diprotodontia; Vombatidae.
GGUUAGAUGGCACUUUGGGGCUUCCAUCCUGGGGAAUAUCAGACCUAUGGAAAAGGUCCAACCUUACAUGUCCUGUAUAUAAUAAAGAGGGCUAUGUGCGUUUGGACCUAUCCCACAGGCCCUGUAUUCUUACGCAGAGACCUUAACAUGCCAUCUGAUCU